GGAAAGAGCCGGGAUAGCUCAGUUGGUAGAGCAGAGGACUGAAAAUCCUCGUGCCACC
RNAcentral lists this transfer RNA (58 nucleotides) under Abies lasiocarpa (subalpine fir). Its description in RNAcentral is "partial tRNA-Phe(GAA)". The stretch from base 8 to 58 matches the Rfam family "tRNA", at positions 1 to 49 of the family's 71-position model. From Rfam's summary of the family: Transfer RNA (tRNA) molecules are approximately 80 nucleotides in length. Lineage: Eukaryota; Viridiplantae; Streptophyta; Pinopsida; Pinales; Pinaceae. RNAcentral also lists the same sequence under 12 other names. The record is from RNAcentral.